UUUUAUGGAGAGUUUGAUCCUGGCUCAGGAUGAACGCUGGCGGCGUGCCUAAUACAUGCAAGUCGAGCGAACGGACGAGAAGCUUGCUUCUCUGAUGUUAGCGGCGGACGGGUGAGUAACACGUGGAUAACCUACCUAUAAGACUGGGAUAACUUCGGGAAACCGGAGCUAAUACCGGAUAAUAUUUUGAACCGCAUGGUUCAAAAGUGAAAGACGGUCUUGCUGUCACUUAUAGAUGGAUCCGCGCUGCAUUAGCUAGUUGGUAAGGUAACGGCUUACCAAGGCAACGAUGCAUAGCCGACCUGAGAGGGUGAUCGGCCACACUGGAACUGAGACACGGUCCAGACUCCUACGGGAGGCAGCAGUAGGGAAUCUUCCGCAAUGGGCGAAAGCCUGACGGAGCAACGCCGCGUGAGUGAUGAAGGUCUUCGGAUCGUAAAACUCUGUUAUUAGGGAAGAACAUAUGUGUAAGUAACUGUGCACAUCUUGACGGUACCUAAUCAGAAAGCCACGGCUAACUACGUGCCAGCAGCCGCGGUAAUACGUAGGUGGCAAGCGUUAUCCGGAAUUAUUGGGCGUAAAGCGCGCGUAGGCGGUUUUUUAAGUCUGAUGUGAAAGCCCACGGCUCAACCGUGGAGGGUCAUUGGAAACUGGAAAACUUGAGUGCAGAAGAGGAAAGUGGAAUUCCAUGUGUAGCGGUGAAAUGCGCAGAGAUAUGGAGGAACACCAGUGGCGAAGGCGACUUUCUGGUCUGUAACUGACGCUGAUGUGCGAAAGCGUGGGGAUCAAACAGGAUUAGAUACCCUGGUAGUCCACGCCGUAAACGAUGAGUGCUAAGUGUUAGGGGGUUUCCGUCCCUUAGUGCUGCAGCUAACGCAUUAAGCACUCCGCCUGGGGAGUACGACCGCAAGGUUGAAACUCAAAGGAAUUGACGGGGACCCGCACAAGCGGUGGAGCAUGUGGUUUAAUUCGAAGCAACGCGAAGAACCUUACCAAAUCUUGACAUCCUUUGACAACUCUAGAGAUAGAGCCUUCCCCUUCGGGGGACAAAGUGACAGGUGGUGCAUGGUUGUCGUCAGCUCGUGUCGUGAGAUGUUGGGUUAAGUCCCGCAACGAGCGCAACCCUUAAGCUUAGUUGCCAUCAUUAAGUUGGGCACUCUAAGUUGACUGCCGGUGACAAACCGGAGGAAGGUGGGGAUGACGUCAAAUCAUCAUGCCCCUUAUGAUUUGGGCUACACACGUGCUACAAUGGACAAUACAAAGGGCAGCGAAACCGCGAGGUCAAGCAAAUCCCAUAAAGUUGUUCUCAGUUCGGAUUGUAGUCUGCAACUCGACUACAUGAAGCUGGAAUCGCUAGUAAUCGUAGAUCAGCAUGCUACGGUGAAUACGUUCCCGGGUCUUGUACACACCGCCCGUCACACCACGAGAGUUUGUAACACCCGAAGCCGGUGGAGUAACCUUUUAGGAGCUAGCCGUCGAAGGUGGGACAAAUGAUUGGGGUGAAGUCGUAACAAGGUAGCCGUAUCGGAAGGUGCGGCUGGAUCACCUCCUUUCUAA
RNAcentral lists this ribosomal RNA (1557 nucleotides) under Staphylococcus aureus. RNAcentral's name for it is "16S ribosomal RNA". It matches the Rfam family "Bacterial small subunit ribosomal RNA". The record is from RNAcentral. Lineage: Bacteria; Bacillati; Bacillota; Bacilli; Caryophanales; Staphylococcaceae.